This 497-nucleotide ribosomal RNA is filed under the name uncultured bacterium. Its description in RNAcentral is "partial 16S ribosomal RNA". It matches the Rfam family "Bacterial small subunit ribosomal RNA", at positions 28 to 507 of the family's 1533-position model. The record is from RNAcentral.
GAUGAACGCUGGCGGCGUGCCUAAUACAUGCAAGUCGAGCGAACAGACGAGGAGCUUGCUCCUUUGACGUUAGCGGCGGACGGGUGAGUAACACGUGGGUAACCUACCUAUAAGACUGGGAUAACUUCGGGAAACCGGAGCUAAUACCGGAUAAUAUUUCGAACCGCAUGGUUCGAUAGUGAAAGAUGGCUUUGCUAUCACUUAUAGAUGGACCUGCGCCGUAUUAGCUAGUUGGUAAGGUAACGGCUUACCAAGGCAACGAUACGUAGCCGACCUGAGAGGGUGAUCGGCCACACUGGAACUGAGACGCGGUCCAGACUCCUACGGGAGGCAGCAGUAGGGAAUCUUGCGCAAUGGGCGAAAGCCUGACGGAGCAACGCCGCGUGAGUGAUGAAGGUCUUCGGAUCGUAAAACUCUGUUAUUAGGGAAGAACAAACGUGUAAGUAACUGUGCACGUCUUGACGGUACCUAAUCAGAAAGCCACGGCUAACUACGUG